Molecule: long non-coding RNA, 978 nt
Organism: Choloepus didactylus (southern two-toed sloth)
Lineage: Eukaryota; Metazoa; Chordata; Mammalia; Pilosa; Megalonychidae
Exons: 5
Source: RefSeq, a predicted model, not a curated record
UCUAGCUUCAAUUUUAUUAUUCUCCUUCUUAGAGAUGAAAAGAAAGCCUGUCUUGGACAGACAUAGUACCCCAGGUUCCAUGCGAGCCAUGCGCUCUGCUUCAUUCUCUCCCUUACUGGAUUUCAGUUCCUGUGCUCACUUGCCCUUGAGAUCUUGUUUUUGUUUUUUGUAGGUAAGUUCUCCCUCAGCUAUUUCUGUCACUCCUGUUGGAUAUCUUUAUUAUUCACUCGUAAUAACUUGCAGUAAUCAGGCAUUUCACGAAUGUUUUUCUGAGAUGCUCUCCAGUCCCCAUGCAGCGGCUGUCACUGCAGUUGCAGGAGAAAUGAUAAUCACUUCUCGGCAUGGAGAUGAGAUGAUGGAGUCCCAGACCUUCGUCUCAGAGUCCAGAUGCCCCUCUUCCCACCUGCACGUCAGUGCCCCUGCACGCACUGUCCCGACAGCAAAUGCCAACUGGGCAUCCCUCAGAUUGACCAUGGCUGCUUCGGGACCGGCACGGCUCCUGGAUCGUGCUGCACGUGAACUUGUUUCCCUCAAUACCACCUGCCUCCUCGGCGGCUUCCAGGCCCGUAAGCUCCUUCCCCGCGUCCCUAGGCGGCUGGGCCUUGGAAUUAGGUCCCCAAGGUGCACUGUCGUCUGCUGUGCCCUCCGCUGGGUUCCGCAUCUCCUGGCGAAUCUACAUUCCUGUGGGGGUGACAGGCCGAGAGAAGAGCAGAAACAGAAGUGUUAGAAGACGUGGAUGUUGUUCCGUAUCAUGCCAGAUAGAAGCUCGGGGCUUUGGAAGUAAAGUGAUGAAGGGGAAUUCUGAAGUUCAGGGAUUAGAUGGAAGAGUCACUGGUAAUAAACAGUGGGUAGAACCUAGAAACCAAAUCUCCGGACCUACUGAGAUGUCCUCUAGAGGAACUCAACCAGCUCUGAGGAAUAUCUUCGUAUACACGGUUGAGACUUCUGCUACAUCCAGGCAGGUCAGGAGUCACCGUG